GCCCGGGUGGCUCAGUCGGUUGAGCGUCCGACUUCGGCUCAGGUCAUGAUCUCGUGGUCCGUGGGUUCGAGCUCCGCGUCGGGCU
This is a non-coding RNA of Felis catus (domestic cat), 85 nucleotides long. The record is from Rfam. NCBI's taxonomy places the organism in Eukaryota, Metazoa, Chordata, Mammalia, Carnivora, Felidae.